CCAACGGCCCUCUUUAGGGCCAACAAAAACAAUUUUUUGAUCUCAC
This is a non-coding RNA of Parastrongyloides trichosuri, 46 nucleotides long. Lineage: Eukaryota; Metazoa; Nematoda; Chromadorea; Rhabditida; Strongyloididae. The record is from Rfam.